This 260-nucleotide small RNA is filed under the name Vigna angularis var. angularis. RNAcentral's name for it is "Non-protein coding transcript". Lineage: Eukaryota; Viridiplantae; Streptophyta; Magnoliopsida; Fabales; Fabaceae. The record is from RNAcentral.
CUGCUAACUGCAUUCUUUGAGUUAUUUAAAACAAUGACAUGAUACUGUAUACCGGAUACUGUUGUCGGAUAUACUUAGCCGACCAUCGAAUACUGGGUAUAUCUACUUUGAUAACAAUGCCGCUCAUUAAAUCAGGGUGCCACUUACGGGCCAGAACUUUGAAGCACGGAGCCAUGGAGCUGGGAAGGCUGCAUAUUCCCUUGAGUAAGGUUUUGUCCAUGCAUCAGCCAUGAGCAAUGAUGGUGGAUGAGGAGCUCCCU